GUGGGGAAUUUUGGACAAUGGGCGAAAGCCUGAUCCAGCAAUGCCGCGUGCAGGAUGAAGGCCUUCGGGUUGUAAACUGCUUUUGUACGGAACGAAAAGCUUCGGGUUAAUACCCUGGAGCCAUGACGGUACCGUAAGAAUAAGCACCGGCUAACUACGUGCCAGCAGCCGCGGUAAUACGUAGGGUGCAAGCGUUAAUCGGAAUUACUGGGCGUAAAGCGUGCGCAGGCGGUUUUGUAAGACAGAGGUGAAAUCCCCGGGCUCAACCUGUGAACUGCCUUUGUGACUGCAAGGCUGGAGUACGGUAGAGGGGGAUGGAAUUCCGCGUGUAGCAGUGAAAUGCGUAGAUAUGCGGAGGAACACCGAUGGCGAAGGCAAUCCCCUGGGCCUGCACUGACGCUCAUGCACGAAAGCGUGGGGAGCAAACAGGAUUAGAAACCCCUGUAGUCC
This 450-nucleotide ribosomal RNA is filed under the name uncultured bacterium. RNAcentral's name for it is "partial 16S ribosomal RNA". It matches the Rfam family "Bacterial small subunit ribosomal RNA", at positions 354 to 796 of the family's 1533-position model. The record is from RNAcentral.